This is a non-coding RNA of Schizosaccharomyces pombe (fission yeast), 618 nucleotides long. The record is from the annotation of a GenBank genome assembly. Lineage: Eukaryota; Fungi; Ascomycota; Schizosaccharomycetes; Schizosaccharomycetales; Schizosaccharomycetaceae.
AUGGCUUCUGCAAGUCUUUUUUUUUUUUUUUUUUUUAUACCUAAAGGCCUUUUUCAAGUUUACUGAUUUGCGACCAAUACCUUAAUACUACAUUUGCUCCGUCAAAAAGUUUGUAUGAACUAAUUUUCUCAUUACCAGCCACACCAUAAAUCUCGAGAAUGUACAGUAAAAAAGCACAAUGGCUAGUGUCUGCUGAAAGUUCCAGGACCUAAUGAAACUCCAAUGUGCAUGGACCUAUAAUUAAAAAAUCGGAAUUAAAGCUAAUCAACAUAAAAUCCUUUAUACUGUUAAAGUUUUUAUAUUUUCAUCCUUCUACAAUCUCGAUGCUCCCCUUAAAUUACAGCAUAACAGGAAAAAUCGAUUUUCUCACAAAAAAGACAUCCUACUGUGCAAAUCACAACGAAGUAUGGAGAAAAAAGAAAAUAAAUUAAUUACGAAAAGAUUAAAUAAAAAAAAUGAAAAUAUUUGUUUCUCCCAGCAAUUCAUAUACGCUUAAGGAAUGUCCUCAUGAACAAUAUUAAAUCCAUCAAAUAAUAAAAAGGGGUAUGUAAUAACAUAAGUUUGAUAUUAGGCAGCAUAAACCAUAGAAAAGCUUCAAAAUGAUUUCUAGGAAUAGGG